This is a long non-coding RNA of Lytechinus pictus (painted urchin), 987 nucleotides long. RefSeq lists it as uncharacterized. The transcript is spliced from 3 exons. NCBI's taxonomy places the organism in Eukaryota, Metazoa, Echinodermata, Echinoidea, Temnopleuroida, Toxopneustidae. The record is from RefSeq and is a predicted model, not a curated record.
AAUUGAUGUUCGAAAUCAUGGUUUCUGAGUGAACUUCAUUGGAGCGGAAAAUCUUGGAGGGAACAUCAAUACUAUUCUAAUGACAUUCCAUAGGAAUAAAAAUCCAAUGGGACCAAGUUCUUAGCAGUUCACACCUAGUCAGAAGUACAAAAUUGAGAACCAUGCCGAUCAGCAAGUGUUAGUUACAAUCUAAUGAGGAACAGGAUAUCCGAAUGGAAAAAUUGCAAGGUUUCCCACUUCCUAAGCUGUUUAAGUACUGGUAUCACAACAUAAGUGCCAAGAAGAGAUAUGAAACGGUCUCAAAAUUUUUGCUGGUGCCCCCCGAUGCCGUGACCCACGGUACGCCACUGCAAGUCUUCAUAAAUUAUGUAGGGUUAUUAAGUUGCAUUUAUUGUUAUCUUCAUUUUAAAAAAAUGUGAAAUGGGCUACCACUGCAAUGAUAUAUAAAUAGACUAUAUUUCAAAAAUAGAUUGAAUUCUAACCACAGUGACAGUAGACAAAUCAAAUUUUGUUAAUGAUUCGCUAAUGUAUUGAUUGGGGAAGGCACUCUUUAGGAUUCAGGCAUUGUGUCCCACCCCCCCCCCCCCUACGAGGAGUGCUCUCACAUCAGUAGACUAUUUCUUGUCAGCAAAUUUGAAAGGAAUUUACCAAUUUUUUUUAGUGACAAACUUUUGUGGAAGAAAAUAAACGAAUAUCAAAGGUUUUUAUGCUCUUUUAUGGAAUAUUAACUAUAGGCUCAUCGAGAUCCUUUGAAUGAAAUUUUAACAAACAUUGUACAAUGUAGAAAAAUGUACUUACUCCUAUUUUUGUACAUUUAUAUACCCACCCCAUACUACCAUUACCCAGUAACAGCCCUUUUUAGCUAUGCAUUGCCUUCAUUUUUUUAAAUACAAUUUAAUGCUUGGUAGAUGCUAAUUAUUAUUUUUAUGUUAAUGUCAAUGUUUUAGAAAAUGGAUUCCUUAAUAAACAUGUUAAUUUUGAAUUGAA